This is a non-coding RNA of Manis javanica (Malayan pangolin), 488 nucleotides long. NCBI's taxonomy places the organism in Eukaryota, Metazoa, Chordata, Mammalia, Pholidota, Manidae. The record is from RefSeq and is a predicted model, not a curated record.
AGAUUAUGAGGACCAAAUGAAAUGACAUUUAUUCAAGUGUUUUGGAAGUAAAAAUGAUGUCAUCCUUAAAUAAGGGAAGAUAUUUGGGGUUUAAGAUAUUUAAUUAUUUUCCUAUUCCCGGUUCUGAUUAUUUUCGUGUGCUUUACUCUGUAGAAAGUCUGGUGUAAGUGACUACUGUGCUUUGGAUGAUAAUCAUGCCCUUCACUUAACAAGGAAGGUUGUGAGGAAUCUAAAUUAUCAGAAGAAAUUGGAUGUUACCAUUGAACCUUCGGAAGAGCCUUUGUUUCCUGCUGAUGAAUUGUAUGGAAUAGUAGGUGCUAACCUUAAGAGGAGCUUUGAUAUCCGAGAGAUUGAAUCCCUGACCCUUGGCUCAUACGUUUUGAAGGGUCCCCACCAGUAAGAUGGCAAACUUCCGGCUUCUCUUCGGGGUCCUCAGUUCCCGCCGGCGCCACCUGAAGCCCAAUCACCUCUCGCCCCCCUCCCAAUCC